UUAAGUUCAGCGGGUAGUCCUACCUGAUUUGAGGUCAAAUUUGUCAAAUGUUUGUUGUUAUAAGCGGUGCUGACCAGCAUUACCAAAGGCAUAGAUAGAUUUAUCACACCAAUAGCAGCUCAGAUCACCACUAAUGCAUUUCAGGGGAGCCAGCUUUCAUUAGAAAAGAAAGCCUGCAAAACCCCCACAUCCAAGCGCAC
RNAcentral lists this unclassified non-coding RNA (200 nucleotides) under Inocybe sp. RNAcentral's name for it is "partial internal transcribed spacer 2". Lineage: Eukaryota; Fungi; Basidiomycota; Agaricomycetes; Agaricales; Inocybaceae. The record is from RNAcentral.